CGCGUAGGCGGAUCAGUCAGUCAGAGGUGAAAUCCCGGCGCUCAACGUCGGAACUGCCUUUGAUACUGCUGAUCUGGAGUAUAGGAGAGGUGUGUGGAAUUCCGGGUGUAGAGGUGAAAUUCGUAGAUAUUCGGAGGAACACCAGAGGCGAAGGCGACACACUGGCCUAUUACUGACGCUGAGGCGCGAAAGCGUGGGGAGCAAACA
This 207-nucleotide ribosomal RNA is filed under the name uncultured bacterium. Its description in RNAcentral is "partial 16S ribosomal RNA". It matches the Rfam family "Bacterial small subunit ribosomal RNA", at positions 568 to 774 of the family's 1533-position model. The record is from RNAcentral.